CCGACGGAUACAAGGGCCUCGGGGCAGGGGCGGGGGUACCAACGACGGCAGGACGAGGGGAGAGGCCGAAGGGGCCAGACUUGAGCGGCGGUGGGCGGAGAGCGGACGGAGGCCCCAGGCACGGAGCGGCUGGUGAGCGGCAGCGGCUCAGGGGGAACAGAGGCACGGGGGCGGCGCGGUAAGGGGUGCGCGACGAAGUGGCGUGGAUCGGCGGGUCAGGACAGACGCCGCCAGCCGCCACACGUCCGCACGUGGGGCGGGACGUGAUGUAGUCGUCGGUGGUCGAUGGCCGGUCGGGAGGGUGGCAGGGUGCUGAUUUGCGUUUAAGUGUCCAUGCCGAUAGAUAGUUGUAAGGGGUUAAAAGGGUCAAAAACUAAGUUUGGGAUACAACUAACUAAGUAAAAGACAAACAAGUCAAUACUAACUAUGAGUACGUCCCUAAGUGUCUAAUCUUACAAAAAAAAGAGUAUCUUAACAACUUCUUAACAGCUUAAAAAAAGAACACCUUAACAACUUCUUAACCAUAUACAUGACACAUCCGAAGAAAAAUACGUUUUGACUCUGAAUCAACCCUUAAAACCACACAAACAUUUUGGUAUAGUUACAUAUAGACGCACGACAACCAUUUAUGAGAAAGGCAGAGUAUUACGUUUUGCGAAAAACUGUGAUUACAUCGCAAUUUUUCGCAGAAUGUAAUGUAAUACCCUGCCUCCCUCAUGAUUAAUCUUGCAAGUGUACAACAUAAACAACAGCAAAAAAAAAACAUCCAUCUCAGGUGGACAAAAUUUAAGGAUCUAGACCGAUCGCCUCUCGCCUUCCCCUUCGGCUGCCGCUGGCGCGGGGGCACUCUACCCUUACCUCCUCAGCCGCCCCCCACGGCGCUCCGUCCGGUUCCUCAGCGACCUCGACCGCAAGGUCUACAGGGUCUAGGACCUGUGGCCGGAGCUGGCGGUGUGGGAGAGCGACGAGUACCGCGAGACGCUGGCGCCGCGGUUGGGCCUCCGGGAGCGGCGGGAGCAGGCGCUCGAGAGGAGGCGGCGAGGCGGCAGACGGCGGCGGUGGCGUGGGCGGAGGUUGUGGUGUCGCCGGGGCCGGUGGGGGAGCAACAAGGGGAGGCCGAAAGCGGUCGAGAUCCGAUGAUCCCAAGCACGGGAGCUGAGGAAGAAAAAGGAGGGUCUACUGUGGCGAACAGUGAACUACCGCAACACACACACGUGCAUCCGGAAGGUACGACAUACGACUUUGACCAAGGACUAAACAUAAGAGCUCUUAGCUCUAACCAUUACGUUCCCCCCAGACACAGUUUGAGACAGUGCGAGAUCGUUUACUAAAAGAGAAGACAACCGACUUUAACGAAGGACCAAACAUAGGAGUUCUAACUAUUACGUUACCUCAGACACAGUUUAAGACAAUAGGUGUAAGAACGUGUACCUAACUAAGCAACCUCAAUAGGUAUAGCAAUACUGUGGUUACGUUCUAACGUCUCUGCUUAAACUUUAUGCCAGAUGAAUAAACCCAGUGGACAUAUUUAUACUUAAGGUGCAAAUUCACUGACCUUAGUAAGGGUACUCAUCUUAACAACAAUACAGUUACAAGGAACAAAACCUCCGUAGGGUUAAUCAUCGAUAAGAAAUAGUAAGCAAACCGACUCCACAGAUGUGUGUACAAAGUUAGUAACGAUCUAAGUAGUAUAAGUUCCUGACUCGUAAACUUGAGUGGAAAGUAACACAAUAAUAAAAGAAAUAGUGAUUACAAAUAUGUCAUCAUUUUACUAGUGGUUCAAUCGAGUAACAGGAACUUGUUUCCACCUUCGUUUACCUUUAUGAAAUGUGUCAAUCGGACGGAUACGAGGAGUGGUUACCAACAUUCCAAACCAACGUAGUAAUAACACUCUAAAACUUAUGAGAUGUUUCAGACGGAUACGAGGAGGGUUUAUCACAAACGCCCGACCGGACGGGUAGCAUCUUAACACUCAAGCUGUAAAAUUGAUGUUCCCUCGCACGAGUACUCGUCUCACCAACAAUACAGUUACAAGAAACAAGAUCUGAUCUCCGUAGGAUUAAUCAUCGAGAAGAGACAGUAACCAAACCAACUCCAUGUACGUGCCUACAAGGUUGUUGACGACCUAUGUAGUAUAAGUUCCUGUAGUAAGCUGAAGUGGGAAAUCAUUCAAUAACAAAAGAGAUAGUGAGACCCUAAAUUCCUCCUUUACGAAAUGUUUAGGUUGUGUACGAAGAGUGACCACCACAUAAGUUCAACCGGACGGGUAGCAUAAAAAGUAGAACAAAGGACUACAACAUAUUUAGAUUAUCAGUUCGUCAUCGGAACAUAGGUUAAUUCAACAUAAAAGUUCUUGUUUUUUUUACAUGAUCAUAUAUCAAAUCUUCAACUAUAGAGGGUUCCACUAAACUUCGUAUGUUGGUACUACGUUGGUUUGAAAUAAUACGAUUCUUUUUAAGAGGGUACAGGCUUUAAAGUUAGUCACACGUUGGUGAUCUCCAUGGUGGAGAAAGAGAAAUGUUGUAAGAUUUGUAGUGGAAGUAAGUAAGUCGUCCAUGGCUUUUGACCUGCGUUGACUUCAAGAACUAAACUUCAGCCUGGUUUAGACUAUGAACCGAACGACCUUCUCUGCCUAAUCGAAACCAGUCCUCCUUCGUUUAGAACGAGACGCUACGUGAACACUACAACAAAGGUGGUCUUUUUCAACAGCGAGUAACUCAAGGACAUUUAACCGUAGAAAGAAACGAACUGAACCUGUGAUGACAUGAUUAGUACUACCGGUGACGGUGACGGGGAAGUAAGUAUCAGAAGAAUAUAAGGGUAGCGACAUACGUAGUCGACCUGUAGACCACAAGACAGCUAAUAGGAGAGCAACUGCUACCACAGUACGAAUAGACUUUCCUUGUGCAGUACCGGACCACCGGUACUUAGCUCGAGAGCAUAAGCCCUAUUGUCAGUUUUUCGAUACUUUUUACUACUGUAGAGAACGACUCCGACUCUUAGGUGCUAUGUUUAAAUG
This 3019-nucleotide ribosomal RNA is filed under the name Triticum aestivum (bread wheat). RNAcentral's name for it is "partial small subunit ribosomal RNA". Lineage: Eukaryota; Viridiplantae; Streptophyta; Magnoliopsida; Poales; Poaceae. The record is from RNAcentral.